GUAGCUUUCUUAGUUUCUUGUG
RNAcentral lists this non-coding RNA (22 nucleotides) under Arabidopsis thaliana (thale cress). Lineage: Eukaryota; Viridiplantae; Streptophyta; Magnoliopsida; Brassicales; Brassicaceae. The record is from RNAcentral.